AACGAACGCUGGCGGCAUGCCUAACACAUGCAAGUCGAACGAAGGCUUCGGCCUUAGUGGCGCACGGGUGAGUAACACGUGGGAAUUUGCCUUUCGGUUCGGAUUAACGUUGGGAAACCGAUGCUAACACCGGCUACGCCCUCCGGGGGAAAAUUUAAGCCGAGAGAGAAGCCCGCGUCCGAUUAGGUAGUUGGUGAGGUAACGGCCCACCAAGCCGACGAUCGGUAGCUGGUCUGAGAGGAUGAUCAGCCACACUGGGACUCAGACACGGCCCAGACUCCUACGGGGGGCAGCAGUGGGGAAGAUUGGACAAUGGGGGCAACCCUGAUCCAGCAAUGCCGCGUGAGUGAUGAAGGCCUUAGGGUGUUAAAGCUCUUUCGAACGCGACGAUGAUGACUGUAGCGUGAGAAGAAGCCCCGGCUAACUUCGUGCCAGCAGCCGCAGUAA
RNAcentral lists this ribosomal RNA (447 nucleotides) under uncultured bacterium. RNAcentral's name for it is "partial 16S ribosomal RNA". It matches the Rfam family "Bacterial small subunit ribosomal RNA", at positions 29 to 523 of the family's 1533-position model. The record is from RNAcentral.